GGAUUGGGAGGGUUCUACGGAACCCGUUUGGUGAAUCUAGUGCCGAGAAAAGCCUUCUAUGUGUUGAAUUUCUAGUACCCGUACCCCAAACCGUCACAGGUGGGUGGGUAGAGCAUACCUAGGGGCGCGUGAUAACUCUCUCUAAGGAACUCGGCAAAAUGGCCCUGUAACUUCGGGAUAAGGGGUGCCUGCGUGAGCAGGCCGCAGUGAAAUGGCUCUGGCGACUGUUUACCAAAAACACAGGUCUCUGCUAAGUCGUAAGACGAUGUAUAGGGGCUGACUCCUGCCCAGUGCCGGAAGGUUAAGGAAGUUGGUUAGCGCAAGCGAAGCUGGCGACCGAAGCCCCGGUGAACGGCGGCCGUAACGAUAACGGUCCUAAGGUAGCGAAAUUCCUUGUCGGGUAAGUUCCGACCCGCACGAAAGGAGUAACGAUCAGAGCGCUGUCUCGGAGAGAGACACGGCGAAAUAGGAUUGUCCGUGAAGAUACGGACUACCUGCACCCGGACAGAAAGACCCUAUGAAGCUUUACUGUUACUUGGAAUUGUGUUCGGACUUUGUCUGCGCAGAAUAGGUGGGAGGCUAUGAAACGUUCCUCGCGGGGAACUGGAGCCAUCGUUGAGAUACCACUCUGGCAGAGUCUGGAUUCUAACCUACGGGGACAGUUCCAGGUGGGCAGUUUGACUGGGGCGGUCGCCUCCUAAAAUGUAACGGAGGCGCGCAAAGGUUCCCUCAGGCUGGUUGGAAAUCAGCCAUAGAGUGUAAAAGCAUAAGGGAGCUUGACUGUGAGACCUACAAGUCGAGCAGGGACGAAAGUCGGCUUUAGUGAUCCGACGGCACUGAGUGGAAGGGCCGUCGCUCAACGGAUAAAAGUUACUCUAGGAUAACAGGCUGAUCUUCCCCAAGAGUUCACAUCGACGGGGAGGUUUGGCACCUCGAUGUCGGCUCGUCGCAACCUGGGGCGGUAGUACGUCCCAAGGGUUGGGCUGUUCGCCCAUUAAAGCGGCACGUGAGCUGGGUUCAGAACGUCGUGAGACAGUUCGGUCCAUAUCCGGUGUAGGCGUAGGAGCAUUGAAAGGAUCUCUCCUUAGUACGAGAGGACCGGGAGGGACGUACCUCUGGUGUACCUGUUAUCGUGCCAACGGUAAACGCAGGGUAGCCAUGUACGGAGUGGAUAACCGCUGAAAGCAUCUAAGUGGGAAGCCCACCUUAAGAUGAGUGCUCCCUUGAGGCCACGGGAAGACGACCCGUUUGAUAGGCGCUAGGUGGAAGUGCAGUAAUGCAUGCAGCCGAGGCGUACUAAUAGGCCGAUGGC
RNAcentral lists this ribosomal RNA (1312 nucleotides) under metagenome. RNAcentral describes it as "bacterial LSU rRNA". It matches the Rfam family "Bacterial large subunit ribosomal RNA", at positions 1563 to 2925 of the family's 2925-position model. The record is from RNAcentral.